AGGACUGGAAGAACUGACUUUCUGUGGGAGGACAGUUUGUUGAUGGUGUGAGGAAGGAAGUCCAGCCUAGAAGUGGGUGGGGCCAUGUGGAACUGUUGUCAUGGCAACUACCAUCUCCAUGAAAUGGGAAGCAGUGCCAGAGCAUCCCUAAGACAAGGGAGGGAAGAGGACACUUUUGAGGUUAGAGAAGGGCCAGUCUGAAACAGUCACCUAGGAAAGUGUAGGGGGUGAGCCUGGUUCUAUAUUCAGACCUCUAUGGACCACUCACCACAGUGAAAAAUUCAUUUACAUUCAGAUCCAGUAGACAGCACAUUUCACAAAACAAUAUUUAACCUUAUUAUAUUUGGUGGGCUCUGACCUUUUUUCUAUUUUAUCUCACUUUUUUAAUGCAUAUUGGACCUACUAAAUUGGCUCCUUGACCCACAAGUAAAUCUUGACCUGAGGCUUGUAAAAGGCUGAGUUAAGGAGGCAGCAUUGACCCACGACCCCCUAGAGGCCUGUAGGAAGGAGUGGUCAUCAAGACAAAGGAAUGCCUAUGUCCAGUCCUCCACAGUCCUCUACAGUUCUUCCCUGAACCGGGGUGGACUGCUGGUUUGCAGAGUUGGGAGCUGCGUGAAGCUGAGUCAGUUAGGGGUGCAGCCAGAACAGCAUAGGAUUCGAUUUGGCGACGGGGUGGCAUUGGAACUGCUAACGCCCCAUGUGUGCUGUCCUCUCCUGAGGACUUCUUCACACAAAGCAAUUCAUUGAACCCUCACAACUACCCUGGAAGUUGGGCCCUGUAAUUAGCCCUGUGUUACAGAGGAGGAAACUGUGGCCCUGAGAGGAUGUCUGCCUCUGUCUGAAAACACCUUCUAUGAAUAUAAAGGAAACACCAACGGCCAGUGCCAGCUCUGCCCAGCGGAUCUCUG
This is a long non-coding RNA of Odocoileus virginianus texanus, 908 nucleotides long. RefSeq lists it as uncharacterized. The record is from RefSeq and is a predicted model, not a curated record. NCBI's taxonomy places the organism in Eukaryota, Metazoa, Chordata, Mammalia, Artiodactyla, Cervidae.